RNAcentral lists this ribosomal RNA (392 nucleotides) under uncultured bacterium. RNAcentral describes it as "partial 16S ribosomal RNA". It matches the Rfam family "Bacterial small subunit ribosomal RNA", at positions 523 to 918 of the family's 1533-position model. The record is from RNAcentral.
AUACGGAGGAUGCGAGCGUUAUCCGGAUUUAUUGGGUUUAAAGGGAGCGCAGGCGGGAGCUUAAGUCAGCGGUUAAAUGGUGCGGCUCAACCGUGCCCUGCCGUUGAAACUGGGUUUCUUGAGAGUGCAAGAGGCGGAUGGAACUCAUGGUGUAGAGGGGGAAUGCUUAGAUAUCAUGAAGAACUCCGAUUGCGAAGGCAGUCCGCUGGGGCACGUCUGACGCUGAUGCUCGAAGGUGCGGGAAUCAAACAGGAUUAGAUACCCUGGUAGUCCGCACGGUAAACGAUGAUUACCCGCUGUCGGCGGUAGACAGUCGGCGGCCAAGCGAAAGCGAUAAGUAAUCCACCUGGGGAGUACGCCGGCAACGGUGAAACUCAAAGGAAUUGACGGGG